Molecule: ribosomal RNA, 360 nt
Filed under: uncultured bacterium
Lineage: Bacteria
Description: bacterial SSU rRNA
Rfam family: Bacterial small subunit ribosomal RNA
Source: RNAcentral
AACGAACGCUGGCGGCAGGCCUAACACAUGCAAGUCGAACGCUCCGCAAGGGGAGUGGCGUACGGGUGAGUAACACGUGGGAACCUACCUUCUGGUACGGAACAACCAAGGGAAACUUUGGCUAAGACCGUAUACGACCUCCGGGUGAAAGAUUGAUCGCCGGAAGAGGGGCCCGCGUCCGAUUAGGUAGUUGGUGAGGUAACGGCUCACCAAGCCUUCGAUCGGUAGCUGGUCUGAGAGGAUGACCAGCCACACUGGGACUGAGACACGGCCCAGACUCCUACGGGAGGCAGCAGUGGGGAAUAUUGGACAAUGGGCGCAAGCCUGAUCCAGCCAUGCCGCGUGAGUGAUGAAGGCCUU